GGUGAGAUGGCCGAGCGGUCUAAGGCGCCAGACUAGGGACCAAAGUAGUUGCUGCUUUCAAAGUGGGAUUUGAACUCACCUAUAUGGUCCGAAUAGGGCCAGGGUUCAAAUCCCUCUCUCAUCA
Non-coding RNA from Asterophora parasitica, 124 nucleotides. Lineage: Eukaryota; Fungi; Basidiomycota; Agaricomycetes; Agaricales; Lyophyllaceae. The record is from the annotation of a GenBank genome assembly.